UACGGAGGGUGCGAGCGUUGUCCGGAAUCACUGGGCGUAAAGGGCGCGUAGGCGGUGCGAGAAGCGUGUGGUGAAAGCCCGGCGCUCAACGCCGGGUCGGCCGUGGAUACUCUCGGGCUUGAGCUUACUAGAGGCAGAUGGAAUUCCGGGUGUAGCGGUGGAAUGCGUAGAGAUCCGGAAGAACACCGGUGGCGAAGGCGGUCUGCUGGGGUAAUGCUGACACUGAUGCGCGACAGCGUGGGGAGCAAACAGG
Molecule: ribosomal RNA, 253 nt
Filed under: uncultured bacterium
Lineage: Bacteria
Description: partial 16S ribosomal RNA
Rfam family: Bacterial small subunit ribosomal RNA
Source: RNAcentral